CCUACGGGAGGCAGCAGUGGGGAAUAUUGCUCAAUGGGGGAAACCCUGAAGCAGCGACGCCGCGUGAGUGAAGAAGGUAUUGGUUAUGUAAAGCCCUUUUAGCAGGGAAGAAAAUGACGGUACCUGACUAAGAAGCACCGGCUAAGUACGUGCCAGCAGCCGCGGUAAUACGUAGGGGGCAAGCGUUAUCCGGAUUUACUGGGCGUAAAGGGAGCGUAGUCGGGCGUGCAAGUCUGGAGUGAAAGGCGGGGGCUAAACCCCCGGACUGCCCUGGAAACUGGACGGCUGGAGUGCAGGAGAGGUAAGUGGAAUUCGUGGUGUAGCGGUGAAAUGCGUAGAUAUUAGGAGGAACACCAGUGGCGAAGGCGGCUUACUGGACCGUAACUGACGUUGAGGCUCGAAAGCGUGGGGAGCAAACAGGAUUAGAUACCCUUGUAGUC
This 440-nucleotide ribosomal RNA is filed under the name uncultured bacterium. Its description in RNAcentral is "partial 16S ribosomal RNA". It matches the Rfam family "Bacterial small subunit ribosomal RNA", at positions 338 to 795 of the family's 1533-position model. The record is from RNAcentral.